Molecule: ribosomal RNA, 623 nt
Filed under: uncultured archaeon
Lineage: Archaea
Description: bacterial SSU rRNA
Rfam family: Archaeal small subunit ribosomal RNA
Source: RNAcentral
AUAAUACUCCAUAGAUUAGAGACACUGGAAUGUUCUUUAGUCGAAAGUUCUGGCGCCUUAGGAUGGAUCUGCGGUCGAUUAGGUUGUUGUUGGGGUAACGGCCCAACAAGCCUGUAAUCGAUACGGGUUGUGGGAGCAAGAGCCCGGAGAUGGAAUCUGAGACACGAUUCCAGGCCCUACGGGGCGCAGCAGGCGCGAAAACUUUACAAUGCAGGAAACUGUGAUAAGGGAACUCCGAGUGCCCGUAUAUGCGGGCUGUCCAGGUGUUUAAAAAUCAUCUGAAGAAAGGGCCGGGCAAGACCGGUGCCAGCCGCCGCGGUAAUACCGGCGGCUCGAGUGGUGGCCACUAUUAUUGGGCUUAAAGCGUCCGUAGCUGGACCGAUAAGUCUCUUGGGAAAUCCGCCGGCUCAACCGGCGGGCGUCUAAGGGAUACUGUUAGUCUAGGGACCGGGAGAGGUGAGAGGUACUCCGGGGGUAGGAGUGAAAUCCUGUAAUCCCCGGGGGACCACCGAUGGCGAAGGCAUCUCACCAGAACGGCUCCGACAGUGAGGGACGAAAGCUGGGGGAGCGAACCGGAUUAGAUACCCGGGUAGUCCCAGCCGUAAACUAUGCGCGUUAGGUGU